RNAcentral lists this long non-coding RNA (2779 nucleotides) under Mus musculus (house mouse). Its description in RNAcentral is "long non-coding RNA chr4:148263287-148266066". The record is from RNAcentral. Lineage: Eukaryota; Metazoa; Chordata; Mammalia; Rodentia; Muridae.
GUGCAGGAGACACUAAGGAGAAGAUGCACUGUAAGUGGAGGUGUCACGAGGAAGACAUGUAACAUUUUUAUUUAUUGUUACAAAAGAAAACUGGCUAUUUAAAAAUAAUACAGUGGCGUGGGAUAACAAACAGAUUGUGGCUCACAGUAGUGCAGAGGCCACUGGAAGCACGGAAGGGUACGACAGGGUGAUAUGGUACCAUCUUAAAGAUGUACCGUGAUACUUAAGGAGGCAUACUGCAAAUCCUAAAGGAGCCACUAAGAGUUAUGGCUACCAAGGAAAAUAAGAUUUAAAUAAAAACACAAGAAAUGUCACCCAGAAGAAUUUUUUAAAAAAACAAAAACAAAAAAACCCUUCCAUCUAUUCAGCUCUAGGUUCUGAAGAUGCUGGCCAGUGCAAUCAGGCAAGAAAACAAGAGGUAAAGCGUGUCUGUACUGGGAAAGAAGAAGCAGAUCUCCCAUUAUCAGUGUAACAAACGCUUAUUUGCGUGGAAAAUCCAAUGGAAUCUAAAAAAACCAAUCGACAACAACAAACCCCAAGUUUAACAAGGUCAUAAAACACAAAGUUGAUUAUAAAUUUAAAUUAACAGCUGGAGAAUAAAUCUUAAAUGUAUACUAUGAUAGGAUCAUGAAAAUAGAAAAUGCUUAGAGAUAAAAUGAAGUCAUGUUUCUGGAACCAAAGAUGCGAUAUUUUAAGAUAUAUAUCACAUUCAAGAUCCCAGGAGACUGACUUUCCUAUUUCGUGGUACUUGGGAUUGAACCUAGGGUUUCACACAUACAAAGCCCAUGUUCUACCACUGAGCAACAGCCUCAGCUACUUUUCAUUUUUAAAAACAAUUUGAGACAAGGGUCUUGAUAAAUUAUCCAGGCAAUCCUUGAACAUACUCUGUAGCACAGGCUGGACCAUUAAUUUUCUGCCUCAGCCUCUCAGAUAUCUCGGGAUUAUAGAUUUGUGCCACCGCCGGCCUAACUGGCCAUUUAUCUAUUUCAGAAAUAAAGGAGCUGAUUCUAAAAUUCACCUGGAAAUGCAAAAGAUCUAGAACAACUACACUUAAAAAAAAAAAGACAAUAAAUGAUCUCAAGACAGACAGAGCAGGUUGUAUCUCAGUGGUAGAGUGUUUGCCUAGGAUGUGCUACACCCUGGGCUCAAUCCCUAGCUCUGAAGGAAAGAAAACAAACAGGACCUGGUAUGAAACAGGACCUGGUACGAAGUUAUGAUAACCACAACUGUGUAGUUCCAAAGUGCACGUCCAUGGAACAGAACAGAAUGGCCACAUUUGUGGGCAGAAAGUUUUGUCCAAGGCAAAAGAGAAAGAGGCACAGAGAAAGAAGUGCCCUUCCAACACCUGACACCAGGGUUAUUGUAAGAAUAAUACAGCUCAGCCCAUAGCUUCUCCAUACUCAAAAGCAAACUCAAAAUGAAACAGAAAAACCCAACCAAAAGUGGGCACAAGAGAACAGCAGCCAACACAGAAACUCACACUUGGUGACAGCACAGAGAAUAAACAUUUGUAGAAUGUCAGUCACAAACAGGACGUACCACCAAGGCUCAGGGAAGAUGGGGAAAGAAUGAGGUGGGAAGACUUUAAAAAAAAGACUCACUUUAAUUUUAUGUGUAUGAGUGUUUUGCUUACAGUAUGUAUGUAUGUAUGGUAUGUAUGUAUAUAUGUAUGUAUGUAUGGUAUGUAUGUAUAUAUGUAUGUAUGGUAUGUAUGUAUAUAUGUAUGUAUGUAUGUAUGUAUGUUAUGUCGGUAUGUGUGUUAUGUAUGUAUGUAUGGUAUGUAUGUAUCUGUACCAUGUAUGUAUGUAUGUAUGUAUGUAUGUAUGUAUGUAUCUGUACCAUGAGCGUGCAGUGCCCAUGGCAACCAGAGAGGGCAUCAGAGCCACUGGAAUUGGAGUUAUAGAUGGUUGUGAGCAGCCAUGUGGGUCCUCUGCAUGAGCAACAAGAUCUCUUAAUCACUGAGCCACCUCUCCAGUGAGGUGAAAAAACUGUAGAAGACAAGAAGUAGAGGAGGACCAGAGAAACGGUAUCUUCUGGACAUGACAGGGACUCUGCACUCACGGAUUCACAUCAUCUGUGUCUGCCUGCACAGAACUACACAAGAUCAAGCCAGUCAGCCUUUCGGCUUGAGCCUCAUGGGAAGGGCUCAUGAGUCCCCAGCCCUGGCUAAGCUAUGGGUGCUGACAGCUUCUGGGAGAGGAGAGUCAGUUCUCUUUCAGGGUCUGGACCCUGGUAGAUCUACUGUACUCAGAGGAUGGUCCUACAUCCAUGAAUAUCUGAGCAGCACAAACUGGCCUCAGUGGUCAAUGAAAUGAAAAAGACAUUACGUUUGGUGCUGCUGGUGGCGGUAGUGGUGGUGGUGCUAUUGGUGUUGGUGCUGAUGCUGGCACUGGUGCAGGAGGAGGAGGAUCUGGGAGGAGUUAUGGGAGGAGUGGGAGAAUGUGAUCAAAUACAUCAUAUCCAUGUAUAAAAUUCCCAGAGGAUACAAAUGUUAUUUUACAGUGGACACAAGAUCUGCAUCAAUAUUUCAUCAAAGAAACUAGAGGGAUGAAAUACGCUCCUAAGCCUCUUGUUCAUUCAGCUUCCAUCACCGUGAGGUGAGGUGGGCAGUUUCCCCUAGCCUGUGUUUCCAGUACAAUGCUCUGCCAAACCACAGGCCCAAACCAAGGGGACCGGAAGAAGCCAAGGACUGAGAACAUGAGCUGAAUAAGUCCUUUCUCCUUUAGAAAUACGACAACGGAUGUCCAAGUCAUGACUCAUUAAAAAAAAAUGAAAACCU